GAUGAACGCUGGCGGCGUGCCUAAUACAUGCAAGUCGAGCGAACGGACGAGAAGCUUGCUUCUCUGAUGUUAGCGGCGGACGGGUGAGUAACACGUGGAUAACCUACCUAUAAGACUGGGAUAACUUCGGGAAACCGGAGCUAAUACCGGAUAAUAUUUUGAUCCGCAUUGUUCAAAAGUGAAAGACGGUCUUGCUGUUACUUAUAGAUGGAUCUGCGCUUCAUUAGCUAGUUGGUAAGGUACCGCCUUAGCAAGGCAACGAUGCCUAGCCGACCCGAGAGGGUGAACGGCCAGACGGAAACGGAGACACAGUCCAGACUCCUACGGGAAGCAGCGGUAGGGAAUCGUCCGCGAGGGGGGAGAGCCUGACAGUGCAACACCGCGUGAGUGAUGAAGCACUGCCGAUCGGAGAACUCAGUAAGUAUGGAAGAACAUAUGUGUAAGUAACUGUGCACAUCAUGACGGUACCUAAUCAGAAAGCCACGGCUAACUACGUG
RNAcentral lists this ribosomal RNA (497 nucleotides) under uncultured bacterium. RNAcentral describes it as "partial 16S ribosomal RNA". It matches the Rfam family "Bacterial small subunit ribosomal RNA", at positions 28 to 507 of the family's 1533-position model. The record is from RNAcentral.